CACGUAGGGGGCGAGCGUUGUCCGGAUUCAUUGGGCGUAAAACGCGCGCAGGCGGCUUGGAAAGUCGGGUGUGAAAACUCGGGGCUCAACCCCGGGCGUGCAUCCGAUACUGCCAGGCUUGAGGCAGGUAGGGGAGAUCGGAAUUCCUGGUGUAGUGGUGAAAUGCGCAGAUAUCAGGAGGAACACCAAUUGCGAAGGCAGCUCGCUGGGACGCUACUGACGCUGAGACGCGAAAGCGUGGGGAGCAAACAGG
Molecule: ribosomal RNA, 253 nt
Filed under: uncultured bacterium
Lineage: Bacteria
Description: partial 16S ribosomal RNA
Rfam family: Bacterial small subunit ribosomal RNA
Source: RNAcentral